This 696-nucleotide long non-coding RNA is filed under the name Mytilus galloprovincialis (Mediterranean mussel). The record is from RNAcentral. Lineage: Eukaryota; Metazoa; Mollusca; Bivalvia; Mytilida; Mytilidae.
CCACUUUUAGUCAUAUUUGCUGUAUCAUUGCGAUCCAUUUUUAUAACUGUAGUUUUCCAGAGUACCAUGACAAAUUACAAAUUAUGGAUUUACAUUUGCCUAGAGCGUGCCUGAAUUAGGUUAUUUCAGAAGAAUGAGUUGUGCACAUAGAAAUUAGUACGUUUAUUUAGAAAUACAAUAGUCAACAAAACAAAAUUAAAAUAUUCCAAUAUAUAAUAUUAAAUACAUAAAAACAAACAAUACAUAACAAAGGCAUUAGUUAAUUAUAACAAAGCAAUGCUAGGGCUGCAACCUUUACAAGAACAAUUUGCCUAUGUACCAAAUAACAAUAUAUGCAUCAAAUAUUUUAUAAUUAAGUAAGGGAGUGCCGACUUUACAACAAAAUUAACCUGCGUACACCUGACUUCUAUCAUUAACAUGUGUUUAGAGCGAGUUCAAAUUAUACAGGUUACACUGUAUUUUUUUUUUAUCUACUGCUAUGUAUAGUUGAAAUGUCUUUAAUUUGUAGAAAAAUAUGAAUAACUUAUUGACUAGUUUUUAAUAAAUUGAGUAUAGAUCUUGUAACGAGUAUCUAACAUCUGAGUAUUGUAAAAAUAAACCAAAAAUAAUUAACAAAUUGUAUCUCUAUAAUAAUAACAAAUCAGAACUAAUAUAUUAAAUAAACUUUAAAAAACAAAAUUUUAUGGCACAUAAAUU